UAAUACGAAGGGGGCUAGCGUUGUUCGGAAUCACUGGGCGUAAAGGGCGCGUAGGCGGGCUCUUAAGUCGAGGGUGAAAUCCUGUGGCUCAACCACAGAACGUCCUUCGAUACUGGGAGCCUGGAGUUCGAGAGAGGUUGGUGGAAUUGCGAGUGUAGAGGUGAAAUUCGCAGAUAUUCGCAGGAACACCAGUGGCGAAGGCGGCCAACUGGCUCGAGACUGACGCUGAGGCGCGAAAGCGUGGGGAGCAAACAGGAUUAGAUACCCUGGUAGUCCACGCCGUAAACGAUGGAUGCUAGCUAUUGGCAGGUUCGCCUGUCGGUGGCGCAGCUAACGCAUUAAGCAUCCCGCCUGGGAAGUACGGUCGCAAGACUA
Molecule: ribosomal RNA, 375 nt
Filed under: uncultured bacterium
Lineage: Bacteria
Description: bacterial SSU rRNA
Rfam family: Bacterial small subunit ribosomal RNA
Source: RNAcentral